AUGGAUCACAUACAAAUAUAUAAUGCAUUUCAGAGCGUAGAUUCACUCAUUUUGAUUUAUAUGCAGUGCAUAAUGAAAUCUCUACAAAGACUUGUAUUUAAAAAUGGAGGUAGUAUAUAUUUGAGCAAACUUUUGACAAAAUUUGAAGAGUUUGUGUCAAUUGACCUCAUAGAUUUAUUGGGUCUGGCACUGCAUUGUUUAGCGGGGCACUUUCUUGAGCCAUUUCUUUUCCGCUUGAGCCAUGCGGGGAAUGGAGAUUAUGGGAGGACCAGGGAAGUAGGUGAAAUCGGAUCCGACGAAGAGAAACCAAUAAACCUAAAAUUAUUUUUUGACGAAAAUACUCAACUUCAUAUCUUACAUUCUUAA
Molecule: ribosomal RNA, 366 nt
Filed under: Triticum aestivum (bread wheat)
Lineage: Eukaryota; Viridiplantae; Streptophyta; Magnoliopsida; Poales; Poaceae
Description: partial small subunit ribosomal RNA
Source: RNAcentral